GGGGAGCGGAGACACCUCCCGAGGCUCCUCCGCGUUGGACCCUAUUUGCGAGGGCGGGAGCGGGGUGGGCCGACGGCGAAGCUCCAGAGGUGGGACCCUCUCCCUUCAGCAGCUCUUCCUGACUUCAUGAUUCUGCCCCUCUUCUCAUUGCAGGCGCUGCAGCUGUGCAGCUGCUCUACAGACUGCAGGGACCUGCUGAGACGAAUCCCCGGACGAGGAAAGGGGCCCCCCGCCUGCCCUACUGAGCCUUGCGCGCUGACCCGGUUCCUACACUUAACUUUUCC
Molecule: long non-coding RNA, 284 nt
Filed under: Homo sapiens (human)
Lineage: Eukaryota; Metazoa; Chordata; Mammalia; Primates; Hominidae
Description: non-protein coding lnc-TAOK1-8:4
Source: RNAcentral